AUUGAACGCUGGCGGCAGGCCUAACACAUGCAAGUCGAGCGGAGCGGCGGAGGGGGGAGGAAUACUAAGGUAUCGGCCUGGUAGCGGGGGAGAAGGAUCGGAAAUGGGCGCGAAUACUGCUUCCUAUCAGAUUAGGAUAGGCCGGAGUAGCUAGUGGGUGGGGUAAAGGCCUACCAAGGCGACGAUCCGUAACUGGUCUGAGAGGAUGAGCAGUCACACUGGAACUGAGACACGGUCCAGACUCCUACGGGAGGCAGCAGUGGGGAAUAUUGGACAAUGGGCGAAAGCCUGAUCCAGCCAUGCCGCGUGUAUGAAGAAGGUCUUCGGGUUGUAAAGCACUUUAAGUUGGGAGGCGUUACCAGCAGAAUAAGCACCGGCUAACUUCGUGCCAGCAGCCGCGGUAAUUC
This 407-nucleotide ribosomal RNA is filed under the name uncultured bacterium. Its description in RNAcentral is "partial 16S ribosomal RNA". It matches the Rfam family "Bacterial small subunit ribosomal RNA", at positions 29 to 526 of the family's 1533-position model. The record is from RNAcentral.